CUGGUUGACCCUCCUUCCUGUGGAUACAGGGAACCCCAGAGGGUCUCCUGGAUUUCCUUCACCAGCUCUCUGCCUUACGCCAUGACUGACAUCACCUACAAGGCUGGGACACGUACAAGAAGCUUGGGCCUGGAAGUGACAAAUGGUUUUCAGGUUGGAGUCAGCCAUGGGAAGAUCUGGAGCAUGAGCAAAGAGUGCAGCAUGUGCAAAGGCCCUGAGGCAUGCAUGCUCUUAGUGCAUCUGAGGACCAGAAAGAAGCCAGGAUGUCUGGACACAGGAGAGUGAAUGAAGUCUGGCAACUCUAGUAGACAGCCCUACCUCCAUUUGGUAGCUUCCAGCUACUGAAAGCAAAUAUUUUUACUGUGCCACAAUUAAACAUUUAUACAGCACCC
Molecule: long non-coding RNA, 392 nt
Organism: Prionailurus viverrinus (fishing cat)
Lineage: Eukaryota; Metazoa; Chordata; Mammalia; Carnivora; Felidae
Exons: 3
Source: RefSeq, a predicted model, not a curated record